This 351-nucleotide ribosomal RNA is filed under the name Amygdalops thomasseti. RNAcentral describes it as "partial 16S ribosomal RNA". The record is from RNAcentral. Lineage: Eukaryota; Metazoa; Arthropoda; Insecta; Diptera; Anthomyzidae.
CAUAAUCAUUAGUCUUUUAAUUGGAGGCUGGUAUGAAUGGUUGGAUGAAAUAUUAACUGUUUCAAUUAAAUUUAUUUUAGAAUUUUAUUUUUUAGUUAAAAAGCUAAAAUAUAGUUAAAAGACGAGAAGACCCUAUAAAUCUUUAUAUUGAAAUUAUAUUAAUUGUUUAGAUAUUUUAUGUUAUUAUAUUUAAUAGUAUUUUAUUGGGGUGAUAUUAAAAUUUAAAAAACUUUUAAUUUAUUUUUACAUAAAUUAAUGAAUGAUUGAUCCAUUAUUAAUGAUUAAAAAUUUAAGUUACUUUAGGGAUAACAGCGUAAUUUUUUUGGAGAGUUCAUAUCGAUAAAAAAGAUU